CAAUAGCGUAUAUUAAAGUUGUUGCAGUUAGAACGCUCGUAGUCGGAUUUCGGGGCGGGUCGACCGGUCUGCCGAUGGGUAUGCACUGGCCGACGCGUCCUUCCUUCCGGAGACCGUCUCACUCUUAACUGAGCGGAGGCGGGAGACGGAAUUUUUACUUUGAAAAAAUCAGAGUGUUUCAAGCAGGCAGCUCGCUCUUGCAUGGAUUAGCAUGGGAUAAUGAAAUAGGACUUUGGUGCUAUUUUGUUGGUUUCGAACACCGAAGUAAUGAUGAGAAGGGACAGUCAGGGGCACUCGUAUUCCGCCGAGAGAGGUGAAAUUCUCAGACCAGCGGAAGACGAACCACUGCGAAAGCAUUUGCCAGGGAUGUUUUCACUG
RNAcentral lists this ribosomal RNA (378 nucleotides) under uncultured eukaryote. RNAcentral describes it as "partial 18S ribosomal RNA". It matches the Rfam family "Eukaryotic small subunit ribosomal RNA", at positions 592 to 975 of the family's 1831-position model. The record is from RNAcentral.